UUGUUGUAUAAAAGGAGAGAAGGUUAGCACUCCAAGGAAGAGGUCCUAGUGGCCUGCAACACAUAUAUGGUUAAGGCACUGCCACCUACUUAAUGGCAUCUCUAACCAAGUUUUUGU
Molecule: small nuclear RNA, 117 nt
Organism: Clarias gariepinus (North African catfish)
Lineage: Eukaryota; Metazoa; Chordata; Actinopteri; Siluriformes; Clariidae
Source: RefSeq, a predicted model, not a curated record